GGUCAAGGGAGCCCGUGAAGAAAGAGCAAGCAAUCAGGCUCUGGGACUAGCUGCAGGAAAAAAUAUUUAUCUUGGCACGAGGGGAAACACGAAGGAGGCACAGUGUUCCCAGAACCCAGCAAGGGCUUACAACUGGGAAGGGGACUUCCCAGGAGGAGGACACAGUAGCAGUCUCUUUCUUCUCAACGCCCACAAGGGCUGAGGCUGCCAUGUGAAGAGAAGAAAUGACAAUGUACACCUGUAAGGAAUCUGUGCAAUACCACAGGCAUUGGAGACACAGUACCGGAAACAAGCUUGAAGAAUUUCCAACCCAUUGCUAACUUACUCUUCAAGUGAAUGUGUGUAGUGAGCCCAGCAGUACGUUUCAGCCCCAAUGUCUUCUGUCCCCUAGUGGAACUGGAAACAUCAGCUUUGUAUUAAGACAUGUUACAUGGUCUACAAAACUGACUUGGAACGAGGCAACAUCACUUGGGAUUCUGUUUUGGGAACAAAAGUGAGAAGGUCAAAAGAAAAAGCUAGACUCUGGCAGA
Molecule: non-coding RNA, 530 nt
Organism: Equus caballus (horse)
Lineage: Eukaryota; Metazoa; Chordata; Mammalia; Perissodactyla; Equidae
Source: RefSeq, a predicted model, not a curated record